ACGGCAUGAUGGAGGCAUUUUUUGAUGAGGUCCUUUAAUCUUUCCCAUGAGUCAUGGAACUGCUCACGAUCUUGCUGCAAAAAGCUAGUGAGAGCUCGCCUU
This is a small nucleolar RNA of Cephalotus follicularis, 102 nucleotides long. It matches the Rfam family "Plant small nucleolar RNA R71". Rfam says of the family: R71 is a member of the C/D box family of snoRNAs containing the C (UGAUGA) and D (CUGA) box motifs. Multiple nearly identical copies of this snoRNA have been identified in Arabidopsis, and it is thought to function as a 2'-O-ribose methylation guide for 18S ribosomal RNA. The record is from Rfam. NCBI's taxonomy places the organism in Eukaryota, Viridiplantae, Streptophyta, Magnoliopsida, Oxalidales, Cephalotaceae.